UGAUCACUGAUCUGCAGUUCACCAGGAAUUUACAUGAGAACAAGGAAGCAUAGGUGUUCGUGGUUCAUGGUAUGUCAUUACCAGGUAGAGAAACAGAAGUAGAAUACCUGUCUCCAUGUCAGUGUUGGACUCUCUGCUGGUGGAGUAGGGCAGAUCACUCACCAAACUAACACCUGCUGCCAUGACCGACACUGAAACAUGGGAGCAAACAUGCUGUUAACGCCUCAGACACAAAACAAUGGCAGGGCAAACAGUAAAGACACAACAUAAACGAGGAAGUUAUAUGGCUGGUUGCCUUGGAGUUUUCUCCCUUGGGAGGAAAAUGUGCAAUGUCUGUUGCUGUGUGUCACACACCAGAUCUAGUGUCACUGCAACAUAUAAUGUAUAUGUACUGUAUAUAGUGAGGUGUUAUCAUUCUCCCCCCAGUUCAUUCAUGAAACAUUAAAA
RNAcentral lists this long non-coding RNA (447 nucleotides) under Danio rerio (zebrafish). RNAcentral describes it as "si:dkey-189a9.4 (ENSDARG00000098025.2)". Lineage: Eukaryota; Metazoa; Chordata; Actinopteri; Cypriniformes; Danionidae. The record is from RNAcentral.